Molecule: ribosomal RNA, 426 nt
Filed under: uncultured bacterium
Lineage: Bacteria
Description: bacterial SSU rRNA
Rfam family: Bacterial small subunit ribosomal RNA
Source: RNAcentral
AGGGAAUCUUCCGCAAUGGACGAAAGUCUGACGGAGCAACGCCGCGUGAGUGAUGAAGGUUUUCGGAUCGUAAAACUCUGUUGUUAGGGAAGAACAAGUACCGUUCGAAUAGGGCGGCACCUUGACGGUACCUAACCAGAAAGCCACGGCUAACUACGUGCCAGCAGCCGCGGUAAUACGUAGGUGGCAAGCGUUGUCCGGAAUUAUUGGGCGUAAAGCGCGCGCAGGCGGUUUCUUAAGUCUGAUGUGAAAGCCCCCGGCUCAACCGGGGAGGGUCAUUGGAAACUGGAAGACUUGAGUGCAGAAGAGGAGAGUGGAAUUCCACGUGUAGCGGUGAAAUGCGUAGAGGUGUGGAGGAACACCAGUGGCGAAGGCGACUCUCUGGUCUGUAACUGACGCUGAGGCGCGAAAGCGUGGGGAGCAAAC